CAAUAGCGUAUAUUAAAGUUGUUGCGGUUAAAAAGCUCGUAGUUGGAUUUCUGGUAGGAGUGACCGUGCCAGACUUGAUUGUCUGUGUAUUGUGUUGUCUCCAGCCAUCCUUGUGGAGAACUUUUCUUGCAUUAAUUUGUAGGGAUUGGGACCCGCAUCGUUUACUGUGAAAAAAUUAGAGUGUUUAAAGCAGGCAAUCGCUUGAAUACAUUAGCAUGGAAUAAUACGAUAGGACUUUGGUACUAUUUUGUUGGUUUGCAUACCAAAUUAAUGAUCAACAGGAACAGUUUGAGGAUAUUCGUAUGAACAUGUCAGAGGUGAAAUUCUUGGAUUUUGAUCAGACGAACUACUGCGAAAGCAUUUAUCAAGGAUGUUUUCAUUA
Molecule: ribosomal RNA, 382 nt
Filed under: uncultured eukaryote
Lineage: Eukaryota
Description: partial 18S ribosomal RNA
Rfam family: Eukaryotic small subunit ribosomal RNA
Source: RNAcentral